UGAGGAGGUCAGGACCCUUGGGGCCAGGAAGAGAGCUGUGUGGUGUGGGGGUCACCAGCAGCUCUCAGGGACCGCAGAUGGGCUGAGGCUGCAGACUCUGGCUUGUUCUGAGUGGGGAGGGGCACCAGGGGCUUUGAGCAAAAAAGGCUCCGGGCAGACUUGGGCGUCGAAGGCCAGCUCCGGCCACUGUGCACAGAGCGUCCUCUCAAGCAGGCGG
Molecule: long non-coding RNA, 217 nt
Filed under: Homo sapiens (human)
Lineage: Eukaryota; Metazoa; Chordata; Mammalia; Primates; Hominidae
Description: LHRI_LNC1596.1
Source: RNAcentral